UAUAAUCACAGCAUGUUAAUACAAUUAUAUAUACCGGGUGUCUCAUCCUUUAAAUAGAAUUGUUUAAUUAAUGUAAUAUCUUGCUUAUACAAUUAAUCUAAAUCUUACUUGACGUAGUAUUAUUUCGCAUAAAACAAAAAUCGACCAUUCCCGAUGUUGCUUUGAGCAUCACUGAAAAAUUGCAUCGUGUUGUAUCGCUACGUCUCCCCCCUCCCCCGUACCUCUUUCAAUAAGAUUUUAAUUGUUCAUGUUGUUGUCAUUUGUCGAGAUAAUACGAGUGUCCGACACUAGGUGCCGUCCAAGGUUACAGGACUUUCCUUUGUUGUUAAUAUUUGAAUACGAGUGUGUAACCUGAUAUAUUUUAAUUAUUGUUAAAUCUAUAAAUUAUCUCGAGGAUAAAUAAUUGAAAUAAUAUGAUCAUUAAAGUCAUUCAAUUUGUUUUAUUUUGCUUUAAGACUUCAGAACAUACGUCUCCCGUACCACAGUCUUUACUAUCGUGAUGAGAGAAACUCUCACGCCUAUUGCGCAUGCGCCAAGAGCGAAAUUUAAAUUCUACGAAAAUAAUUGUAGGUUAUAUAUAAAGUACAAUACAAUAUCAAAUAUAUUAUUUUUUUAAAUAAUAUAUAUUAAAUAUUAAUAUUAUUAAAUUAAAAAUUAUCUACUUUGGGACGAGGACGUAAUAAAUAUGUCAUUAUCAUUGAAAAAUACUGGUACACUUAUAAACACAACUUUUAAAAUACUAGAUAUUCGUAUAUCUAUAUUUAUAUAUUAAAGAUAGGGCUAGAAACUACGGAGACAGCCGAAAUAAAACGGAAAUAUCCGAAUAGAGGUUUUUUUUGUGCCUGACUUUACUUACGCGAUGAGAGAAACUCUCACAGUCGAUAAAUAAAUAAUUUUUUUUCUGUAUUUUUCAAGUUUAAACGAAAAUGUUUUUUUCACCAUCUUGUAAAACAUGAAAUCUUAGGAAGUCCACAGUAUUCGAUGUUACCAAUGCACCAGCACGGACAACACACAUCCUUUUCAAUGCAACGAAUUUCUCACAAGUGACAUUGACAUAGAACCAGAGUCUUGCGACGACAUUUUCGGAGCACAGUACUGUGUGAAACACAUUGGCCGAUUCGAGGGUAAAAUAAACCAAACGACGACAAAUCUUUUCAAUUUUCAAAUAUUAGUGCCUAAUGGGGGUAUUAAUAUACGGCAUAGCAUGCUAUACUACUGGUGGAAGCCCUGGAAUGUUACCAAUGUACAUCCGCGGACAAAUGGCAAUGCUCCAAUGGUGAAUUAAUUACAAAUUCUCUACAACCGAUAAACUGCAGUCACGUUUAUGAAGCGCAUUAUUGCGUCAAGACUGUUGGACGAUAUGGAGGUCUUUAUUCGUGGUUUAUUUCGUUAAAUUAUUCGAUGUUGUAUGUGCAUGAUCGUUCGUUUAUUCGUUUAUAAAUUAAGCAUACUAUGUGUAUAUUGAUAUUUUAGCUAUAAUUUCUGUUUUAUUCAAGAAUUAAGUUUAAUAUACAGGAUGUUCUGUAACUAGUGUGGUACAAGCGAGCAAAGGGUGAUUCGACGUGAAAAACUAAUAAAUCGAAAAUGUAGAUUACAAAUUUUUUAUCUAACAAUAAGACUUUGUUUUUGAGAAAACUAGAUUUAAUUAAAAUUGGUCAAGUUUUGCCUCGAUAGAUUUUACUAUCUUACUCUCGUAUAUUUGUGUAGCAUUUUUAUAAACAUUGUCAAUAUAAUGGUACAUUUAUCAAAUGAUGCUUUUAUUGUAGUUUCCAGGGUUGCACGUGUACUCGAACUUAUUUUUCUCGAAAAAGUAUAUACAAUUGCCCUCCUACAACACGGCACCUAUAACACGGUUUCCUUUCAAAACAACCUUUAUACAACACUGUACUUUUACAGCCGCGGCGAAGCUUACCGUCUUAAAGAUACAGUGUUGCGAAAAGUAUUUCAUCUCCAUGGCCUGAAAACAAAAGUCUAAUACAACAUGGUUUCAAAUAACACGGCAUUUUCUAGGAACCUAUCUACCGUGUUAUAGGAGGGUUACUGGUAACACAUAACCAUCUACGAACAAAUUUUAUUCUACAUUUUCAACUUAAUUUUUCAUAUAGAAUCACUUUCUUUUUCACUUGUAUCACUAGUUACAGAACAUCCUAUAUAUGUAAUGAUUGAUAUACAGGGUGUCUCAAAACUCGCUUUACCGAAUAGAAAAAAUUAGAAAUAUAUUUAAUUGUGUGUGUGUAUGUAAUCAUAUUCUUUCAUCUAUAUGCAUGAUUAGCAAAGAUUUGAAAGUAUAUAUGAAAAUAAUACUAACUUAUUAUUUAUGUUUAUAAAUGUAUAUAGGAUAUAUUUCCAUAAUCGAUCAAAUUCUCAUUUAAUCGUAAUUCAACCACUACUUUUCAUAAUACUUAAUAUAAGUAGUUAUUAUAUUAAAAAAAAAAAAAAAAAA
RNAcentral lists this unclassified non-coding RNA (2443 nucleotides) under Polistes dominula (European paper wasp). Its description in RNAcentral is "omega-scoloptoxin-Ssm1a, transcript variant X2". The record is from RNAcentral. Lineage: Eukaryota; Metazoa; Arthropoda; Insecta; Hymenoptera; Vespidae.